UACCUCAAUUCCUGUUGCCCAGGGAGUAGCUAGUCAACUCCGUGGUUUUCCUCAAUGAACAUUACAUUUUUUAAAAGAUGAAGGAACCAACAAAGGGAAAUUUUUUUCUGGAUCUGAUGCUCAGCACUGAAGAGGAACUGUGGUGGACAUAAUGAGGUAUCCAUCUUAGGAUUGCUAUUUGGUCACCUGUACUCAGUGAAAGAAACAGGAAGAAGAGGCAGUUGGAGAGAUUUGAGGUUCAGUUUCAGGUCCGCUGCUAACAUGGGUGCUCAGUGUUAAAUUCAGGAAGUUGCCUUUGCUUCAGGAAGUAAAGAGGUGGAGGAAAAGAUCCUUUCCUACUGCUUAGAUGCAAAUCUAAGAGAGAACCAUAUGCUGGGCAGAUGGGGAAAGAAGAGAACAUAAAAAGAUGGAAUCACUCUUUUGAAAGUCUGGGCUACUUUUCCUGACCGUGGCUAAUCUUUUUAUUUAUUAUUUAUUUUUAAAAUUUUUAUUUAAUUAAUCAAUUUAGAACAUUUCCCCCUGGUUACAAGAAUAAUGCUUCUUCCCUCCCCACUCCUCACUCCCUCCUGUAGCCAACAGUCCAUUCCACUGGGUUUUACAUGUGUCCUUGAUUGAAACUUAUUUCCAUGUUGUUGAUGUUUGAAUUAGGGUGAUCAUAUCCCCAUCGAUCCAUGUGAUCAAGCAGUUGUUUUUCUUCUGUGUUUCUAC
This 708-nucleotide long non-coding RNA is filed under the name Monodelphis domestica (gray short-tailed opossum). RNAcentral describes it as "lncRNA (ENSMODG00000049782.1)". The record is from RNAcentral. Lineage: Eukaryota; Metazoa; Chordata; Mammalia; Didelphimorphia; Didelphidae.